This 303-nucleotide ribosomal RNA is filed under the name uncultured Candidatus Saccharibacteria bacterium. RNAcentral's name for it is "bacterial SSU rRNA". It matches the Rfam family "Bacterial small subunit ribosomal RNA", at positions 28 to 351 of the family's 1533-position model. The record is from RNAcentral. Lineage: Bacteria; Candidatus Saccharimonadota.
GAUGAACGCUGGCGGCGUGCCUAAUACAUGCAAGUCGAGCGGUAAGGCCCUUCGGGGUACACGAGCGGCGGACGGCUGAGUAACACGUAGGAACGUACCCCAAACUGAGGGAUAAGCACCAGAAAUGGUGUCUAAUACCGCAUGUGGCCCACGGGCUAAAGCUCCGGCGGUUUGGGAACGGCCUGCGUCCGAUUAGCUAGUUGGUAGUGUAAUAGACUACCAAGGCGACGAUCGGUAGCUGGUCUGAGAGGAUGAUCAGCCAGACUGGGACUGAGACACGGCCCAGACUCCUACGGGUGGCAG